RNAcentral lists this ribosomal RNA (229 nucleotides) under uncultured bacterium. RNAcentral describes it as "partial 16S ribosomal RNA". It matches the Rfam family "Bacterial small subunit ribosomal RNA", at positions 568 to 796 of the family's 1533-position model. The record is from RNAcentral.
UCCGUAGGCGGGCGACUAAGUCAGAGGUGAAAUCCCACAGCUUAACUGUGGAACUGCCUUUGAUACUGGUUGUCUUGAGUUAUAGUGAAGUAGAUAGAAUAUGUAGUGUAGCGGUGAAAUGCUUAGAUAUUACACAGAAUACCGAUUGCGAAGGCAGUCUACUACGUAUAUACUGACGCUAAUGGACGAAAGCGUGGGGAGCGAACAGGAUUAGAUACCCUGGUAGUCC